GAUGAACGCUGGCGGCGUGCCUAAUACAUGCAAGUCGAGCGAACAGAUAAGGAGCUUGCUCCUUUGACGUUAGCGGCGGACGGGUGAGUAACACGUGGGUAACCUAUCUAUAAGACUGGAAUAACUCCGGGAAACCGGGGCUAAUGCCGGAUAACAUGUUGAACCGCAUGGUUCUACAGUGAAAGGCGGCUUUGCUGUCACUUAUAGAUGGACCCGCGCCGUAUUAGCUAGUUGGUGAGGUAACGGCUCACCAAGGCAACGAUACGUAGCCGACCUGAGAGGGUGAUCGGCCACACUGGAACUGAGACACGGCCCAGACUCCUACGGGAGGCAGCAGUAGGGAAUCUUCCGCAAUGGGCGAAAGCCUGACGGAGCAACGCCGCGUGAGUGAUGAAGGUCUUCGGAUCGUAAAACUCUGUUAUUAGGGAAGAACAAAUGCGUAAGUAACUGUGCGCGUCUUGACGGUACCUAAUCAGAAAGCCACGGCUAACUACGUG
This 497-nucleotide ribosomal RNA is filed under the name uncultured bacterium. RNAcentral's name for it is "partial 16S ribosomal RNA". It matches the Rfam family "Bacterial small subunit ribosomal RNA", at positions 28 to 507 of the family's 1533-position model. The record is from RNAcentral.